AUGAUUUUUAAUGUUGACGAAACAGGUGUAACAACAGUACAGACACCAAAGCAGGUAGUGGCAGAAAAAGGAAAAAAACAAGUGGGCUCCAUCACAUCUGCUGAAAGAGUCGAACUGGUGACUGUAGUCUGUGCUGUCAAUGCGACUGGUAACGCAGUCCCUCCGAUGUUUAUCUUCCCAAGGGUUAGAUACAAAGACCACUUCAUUGCAGGAGCACCUCCGGGAUCAAUUGGUACCACUACAAGAUCAGGCUGGAUCAGUGAAGAUGUCUUUGUUGUGUUCCUUGAACAUCUGGUUCAGCAGACCAAGUGCUCCCCUGACCUGCCACUGCUGCUAAUCAUGGAUAACCAUGAAGCCCACAUUUCACUGAAGGCUUUGGACAUAGCAAAAACAAGUGGUAUUGUAAUGCUCACAAUUCCACCCCACACUUCCCAUCGCCUUCAGCCUCUGGAUAAGUGUGUGUAUGGUCCAUUUAAAACCUAUUACAACAGAGCUCUUGAUGGCUGGAUGAGGUCCAACCCAGGCAAAACUGCCAGCAUAUACCAAAUUGCUGGUUGUGUGAAUGAUGCUUUCAUGUCAGCAAUGACACCACGAAAUAUCUCCUCGGGAUUUAGAGCCACUGGGAUUUUCCCUUACAACAGAGAUAUCUUCUCUGAUGCAGAGUUUGAGCCAUCCAUGGUGUCAGACAGGCCCAACCUGGAGCAGCAGCCUGCCGCUGAAGGUGUUGCACCUGUGGUUUCAGCCUCUCUUUCUGCUGAGCUACCUUCACCAGACCCUGUACAUGCAUGUGGUUCACGAAGUGACCCCAACCAUGCUCGAUAUGUGUCUCCCACUGAUAUUCUACCCUUACCCAAAAGUCAGCAGCCCAGGAAACAAACAAAUCGAAAGCGUGUGAAGACACGAAUCCUGACUGAUACACCUGAAAAGCAGGCAAUUGAGAGACACCAUGAAGAAAGGACAAAUAAACUGAAAGGCAAAAAAGAAAUAAUCCACAAAAAGCAAGGAAUGUGGAAGAGGAAACAAACCCAGACAAAAAUUGCAGUGGAAAGCAGCUCUGAGGAGAGUGAUGUUCCCAUCCCAUUUGAAGACACUUCUGAGUAUGAGAGUUCCAGCGAUGAAAGAAGUGAACCAGAUGUCUCAGACCUGGUAGUUGGUGACUUUGUCAUCGUAAGAUUUGCAUCCAAAUCCAGGAGCCACCAUUACAUUGGCCUGGUUGACAGCUUUGCAGACAACGAAGUGAGUGCCAGAUUUCUCAGAAGAAUCCGAGGGAUCACUAGCAGUAAGAAACCCACGUUUGUGUUCAAGGAAAAUGAUGAGGCAUCUUUCCCACGCAAGGAUGUGCUGAAGAAGCUACCUCAACCUCAACAGGCUGGAGGAACUGCAAGGAGGGAGCAACAGUUCAUAUUCCCCUGCAACCUUGAUCAUUGGAAUAUUGAAUAG
This 1440-nucleotide long non-coding RNA is filed under the name Oreochromis niloticus (Nile tilapia). Its description in RNAcentral is "lncRNA (ENSONIG00000042420.1)". The record is from RNAcentral. Lineage: Eukaryota; Metazoa; Chordata; Actinopteri; Cichliformes; Cichlidae.